This 440-nucleotide ribosomal RNA is filed under the name uncultured archaeon. RNAcentral describes it as "bacterial SSU rRNA". It matches the Rfam family "Archaeal small subunit ribosomal RNA", at positions 1 to 444 of the family's 1478-position model. The record is from RNAcentral.
UCCGGUUGAUCCUGCCGGCGGCCACCGCUAUUGGAAUACGAUUAAGACAUGCGAGUCGAGAGACGUAAGGUCUCGGCGGACCGCUCAGUAACACGUGGAUAACAUGCCCUAAGGAGGGGGAUAAUCUCGGGAAACUGAGGAUAAUACCCCAUAGGUCUGAUAUGCUGGAAUGCUUUUAGGCCGAAAACUCCGGUGCCUUAGGAUUGGUCUGCGGUCUAUCAGGCAGUAGUGGGUGUAACGGACCCACUAGCCCGUGACGGAUAUGGGCCUUGAGAGAGGGAGCCCAGAGAUGGACUCUGAGACAUGAGUCCAGGCCCUACGGGGCGCAGCAGUCGCGAAAACUUCGCAAUGGGGGCAACCCCGACGAGGGAAUUCCCCAAGUGCCAAGCACUUUGUGUUGGCUGUUCUUCUGUCUAAAACACCAGGAGGAGUAAGGGGCG